Molecule: transfer RNA, 74 nt
Filed under: Gemmatimonadota bacterium
Lineage: Bacteria; Pseudomonadati; Gemmatimonadota
Also listed under: 1 other name
Description: Gemmatimonadetes bacterium (soil metagenome) tRNA-Glu
Rfam family: tRNA
About the family: Transfer RNA (tRNA) molecules are approximately 80 nucleotides in length. Their secondary structure includes four short double-helical elements and three loops (D, anti-codon, and T loops).
Source: RNAcentral
GGGGGCGUGGUCUAGCGGUUUAUGACACCGGCCUUUCACGCCGGGGAUCGCGGGUUCGAAUCCCGUCGCCCCUA